This 1256-nucleotide ribosomal RNA is filed under the name metagenome. Its description in RNAcentral is "bacterial LSU rRNA". It matches the Rfam family "Bacterial large subunit ribosomal RNA", at positions 1677 to 2925 of the family's 2925-position model. The record is from RNAcentral.
UAUUCUAAGGCGCUUGAGAGAACUCAGGAGAAGGAACUCGGCAAAUUGACACCGUAACUUCGGAAGAAGGUGUGCCCUAGUAGUGUGAAGUGAACAAUGGAGCAUGAAUGGGUUGCAAAAAAUCGGUGGCUGCGACUGUUUAUUAAAAACACAGCACUCUGCAAACACGAAAGUGGACGUAUAGGGUGUGACGCCUGCCCGGUGCUGGAAGAUUAAAUGAUGGGGUGCAAGCUCUUGAUUGAAGUCCCAGUAAACGGCGGCCGUAACAAUAACGGUCCUAAGGUAGCGAAAUUCCUUGUCGGGUAAGUUCCGACCUGCACGAAUGGCGUAACGAUGGCCACACUGUCUCCUCCUGAGACUCAGCGAAGUUGAAAUGUUUGUGAUGAUGCAAUCUCCCCGCGGAAAGACGGAAAGACCCCAUGAACCUUUACUGUAGCUUUGUAUUGGACUUUGAACAGAUCUGUGUAGGAUAGGUGGGAGGCUUUGAAGCAGGGUCGCUAGAUCUUGUGGAGCCAACGUUGAAAUACCACCCUGGUGUGUUUGAGGUUCUAACCUAGGUCCAUUAUCUGGAUCGGGGACAGUGCAUGGUAGGCAGUUUGACUGGGGCGGUCUCCUCCCAAAGCGUAACGGAGGAGUUCGAAGGUACGCUAGUUACGGUCGGACAUCGUGACGAUAGUGCAAUGGCAUAAGCGUGCUUAACUGCGAGACUGACAAGUCGAGCAGAUGCGAAAGCAGGACAUAGUGAUCCGGUGGUUCUGUAUGGAAGGGCCAUCGCUCAACGGAUAAAAGGUACUCUGGGGAUAACAGGCUGAUACCGCCCAAGAGUUCAUAUCGACGGCGGUGUUUGGCACCUCGAUGUCGGCUCAUCUCAUCCUGGGGCUGUAGCCGGUCCCAAGGGUAUGGCUGUUCGCCAUUUAAAGAGGUACGUGAGCUGGGUUUAAAACGUCGUGAGACAGUUUGGUCCCUAUCUUCCGUGGGCGCUGCAGAUUUGAGGAAGCCUGCUCCUAGUACGAGAGGACCGGAGUGGACACACCUCUGGUGUAUCGGUUGUCACGCCAGUGGCAUUGCCGAGUAGCUAAGUGUGGAAGAGAUAACCGCUGAAAGCAUCUAAGCGGGAAACUCGUUUCAAGAUGAGAUCUGCCGGGGCCUUGAGCCCCCUGAAGAGUCGUUCAAGACCAGGACGUUGAUAGGUCAGGUGUGGAAGCGCAGUAAUGCGUUAAGCUAACUGAUACUAAUUGCUCGUGCGGCUUGACCCU